Molecule: long non-coding RNA, 808 nt
Filed under: Triticum aestivum (bread wheat)
Lineage: Eukaryota; Viridiplantae; Streptophyta; Magnoliopsida; Poales; Poaceae
Description: long non-coding RNA (TAES_LNC026052)
Source: RNAcentral
UGCACUCCGAUAAACAAAGAUUAUCUUUGAUGGUUACUGUCAAGCUAAUGAUCUUAGGUUUUUAAGUGGGUUUUCUCUUUUCUAAUCUCUUGAUCAAGUUCAGAACAUAUAACCCAAUAGAUGUAUGGUGAAUGACCAAAAUAACUUCAUUUUUAGCAACUUCUUUGCACAUAACAUCGAUGACAUGAUUUUUCUUACCGGACUAAGUGGUGGGUCUGUCCUAGAACCUGCAUCAUACAAAGGAAUCACUAGUUAGAACUUUUCUGUUACACUAGUGUAGAAUGCAGUGAAUAAAUAGCAUACUUUGUGUAAUGUAGUGCACUAAAAUAACAUCUUUAAAGGGAUGACUGAAUACUGCACUCACUCAGAGAAAUACACAAUUUACAUGACUGAUGAAUCUGGAAAGGUUGCUAGCCGGUUUGUCUUAGCAAUUUAUCAUUAGUAGGACGCCGCUCACAGCAUCUUGGCUAGCCUAUUUUUUGCAUGACCUUUUCUACGGUACAUUUUACUAUCAGAGGAGGAGAGUAAUAUAAGUCUCAACCAACCAUUCAUUUUUCAGGGCAAUAUGGUCUAGAUAAAAGAAUAUCAUCAAGCCUAUGGUUGCGCACAGUUUCUGAAACGUGCAACUACUUAAUUAACCGUUAGAUGAAGAAUCAAUGUCCUAGAAAAAAGAGGCACCAAAAAACGAAUCAAAUUGCACAUCCACACAGCACACGACUAUGAGCAGUUAAGCAACAAUCCUAGUAUCAGCAUCCAAAAAAGAUACUUACCCCUUGAAUCAACCGACAUGUCCGUGUUAUAGUCCCGA